AAUAACUCCGCAACUAUGUUGUAAUACCCCACACCCCAUUUCUUUGACUUUUUCCCAGCCCUUUAUAAAAAGAUAAAAAAAAAGCUGACGGGGACAGAGAGGACAAAGAGAACCGGGUCGAACCCGACCUCCGAACGUGACCCGACCGGUUAUCCCAUUUCCGGCCACCACUCCAGCCAAGCUUAGUACCGAUCGGAAGCUCUUGAGCCACUGGUUAUCUGCAUGUCGUCCUUGCCGCCGGAAAACGUUCGGAAAGCCACCGAUCGAAGCCUUAAAGUUUCGCGGAAUCGCCGCCUCGAUUGGCUGCGAUUUUGGCGGUUUUCGGUGACGCCGCCGCUUUGGUUUUGUUCCCCACCAUCUCCUCUACUAUUUCCGACCAUCCACUGCCGUCGAAGAUGUUGUUUUGCGCCGAUCGGCCACUUGAGUAUUCGCGGUUUCCGAGCUGGAUUUCGGUGCCGUUGCCGCGCGUGGAAGGUCACCACCGCCACCAUUGGACUCAGCGUGGCUUGCACUUUCCGUUCUGAGCUUCCCGUCGCCGUCGGUUGAAUUCCGGUGACCGUUGACCGGCAAGCGUAUUUCGGUAAAUUUACAGUGUAAGGACAAUUUUGUAAUUUCAUAUUUUGUGGGUAUUUUAGUAAUUGUCAAAAUUGUGGAUAAAGUUGGUAAUAGGGAUGGCAAUAGCGGGUUUGCCAUUACCAAACCCAAAUCCGCACAAAAUUGAAAUUAUCAAACCCACCCGCAACCCGCAGCGGGUUUUAAUUUUUUUAAAAAAAUCCACCCGCAGCAGGUUUUAACAAUUACCAAACCUGCAAUGAUAUCCGGUGGAUUUUUUGUGGAUUUUCGUAUUUAAAAUCACAAAUGUUUAAUAUAUAAAUUUAUAAUAAUAACCUCAAAUUUCAUAUAACAUACUCAAUUUUAUAUUUAAAUAAUGUAAAUGAAAAAUUAAAAUUUCCACAUCAAUUCAACAUAAAUUCUCAAAUUUAAGUAUAAAUUACACAAAUCUAUUUUAAAAACACAAACUAGUAUCUAAAAAUAAUAAUUACAUUUCAUAUUAUCAUUUAAAACAAGCUCUAAGAGAAUAUAUUCAUUUCAUUCACCACCAUAAGCACCCAUCCAACACAAUGCCUAUAAUAAUAAUUAAAAUUAAUAUUUUCAAAUACUAAUUCGAAGGGAAAUGCCUUUAGUUUUCUUUAGGUUAUGACUUUAGAAUAGGAGAUUGACCACAUAAACACAUACACAACUUUGAACCUUUGGCUAUUUGGUAAUUUGAUUAAUGACAUUAUUUUUUUUAUACAUUUAUAGAUUAAAAUUAAAUUAAAAAUAUUUAAAAAAAAUAUUGCGGGUUUGGUGGAUAUUCAUGCGGGUAUCCACCGGAUAUAAGGUUAAUACCAAACCCACCCGCAUCCAUGUACGGGUUUUAAUUUAUAAUACUAAACCCGCCCGCAACGGAUAAAAUUACCCACAACGGGCGGGUUUUGGCGGGUGGGUUUGGGCGAGUUUGCGGGUUUGCGAGUACAAUUACCAUCCCUAGUUGGUAAUUUAUGAUUUUGACGUUAAGUUGGUAAAUUAUGAUUUUAGGGGUGUUUUGGUUAUUUUGAAUUCAAGGGCAUUUUAGUAAUUUUAAGAUAUUUGAGGGUAAUUUUAUAAUUUGAGGAAUUAAUGUGUAUUUUGGUGAUUUAUGAUUUAAAUUGAGAUUAUUUGAGGUUAAGUAUGGAAUGUGAUUAUAUCGAGGAAUUUGAGAAUAUUGGAUUUUAUGAUUAUGAUUUAAUUUUAUCUUAUGAGAGUAUUUUUAUUGAUUUUAGGCCGAUGAUAUCUAUACGCAUUUGGUACUCGAGAAUGUCAGAAAGUAAGUAAAUUAAAUUUUCAAACGAAUCACAAUAAACAACGUUAUAUGUUUGACAUGUUUGGAAAGUCUAUUUUGAUAUAUACGGAUAUUGAUUUAUAUGUUCUGCCCAUGUGUUUACAUGAUGUGUUGAUAGGAUGUGUUGUUAUGUGUUAUGUGUGUAUUUAUGGACAUGGGUAUAUGUAUGUGUAGAAUUUCAUUGGCAUGAGCAUGAAAAUGCAUUAUGUUUUCUAUAAAACGAGAAAGUGAAUUUUAGACAACCGAAAUUUGAAGAAAGAAAGAUUGUUUUACAAUUUUGGCUUGGAUGUUUGAAUUCAUUACUGGCUUAGGGGAGGACACUAUGGAUGUUAUAUUAUUGUUAUGAGAUAAGUGGGCGAGGAACGUGUUGGCGAGAAACCCAAAGUGUAUGGAAGUUAUGAAUAUUAAUAGAGUGUCCUACUAAGCAGUAAUUGAAUGAAGGUAGUUCAAGUGAGUGAUUUGAAAGAGAAUUGAAAGUUUGAGAAUGAUAGAAUGAGAUUUCAAUGAAUUGUUUACAAUGUUUUCGAAUAUCAUGGCAUGUCAUCUAUUUGCGUUAUAUGUAUGUAUGUAUGUAUGUAUUUUGGUAUAUGAAAAAUUGGUUUGUUUAUUGAAUUUCAUACUCAUUAUAAUUUAUUAUGAGUCAGUUUUCAUAAAUUAGGAUUGAUUCAUGAUGAAUGACGAGAAGAACAUGAAUUAAGGACGGUAGAUAAUUUGACAUAAAUUUUAAAUUUUUCCGCUGUAAUUUGUGUAAUAUAUUUGUAUUUUGAGGUUUAAAUUUUUAUGAAUUGUAAAAUGAUUAUUAUUAUUAUUAUUAAGUAUAGAUAUUUGAACUCUAGUAAGAUUCGCCCUCCACGGAAUUCGCCCCGUAGAGGUCGGGGCAGGUGGUUACACAUGUUGAUUGCUAGAAGAAGC
This 2773-nucleotide long non-coding RNA is filed under the name Citrus sinensis (sweet orange). RNAcentral describes it as "long non-coding RNA (CSIN_LNC000462)". The record is from RNAcentral. Lineage: Eukaryota; Viridiplantae; Streptophyta; Magnoliopsida; Sapindales; Rutaceae.